CUGAGUCUUACUGGGUUAGGUGUUUGACUAGCCCAGGUGAGCGUUGGUAGGCAGCAGGGUGUUGAGUAAUCUGACUGCUUCAGGGAAGAAACUGUUGCAGAGUCUGCUGGUGGUAGCAUGGAUGUUCUGUUCCUGUACCUUCUGCUAGAUGGCAGGAGGGUGAAUAGUCCAUGAGAGGGGUGAGAGGGGUCGUCCACAAUACUGGUGGCUAUGUGGAGGCAGCGGUUGUUGAAGGAGGUGCCAAUGGUGUGUAGAGAGACCCUGAUGAUCUUUCCAGCUGUCCUCACAAUUUGCUGUAGGGUCUUGCGGUCGGAGGCUGUGCGGUUCCCGUACCACAUGGUGAGACAGCUGGUUAGAACGCUCUCUAUCAUCUCUCUGUAGAAGGAGUUGAGGAUGGGAGGGGGAAGUUUGACUCUCUCCAGUUAUUCCAUUGCAGUUGUUCUCAUGCUAAUCUUGCAUGAGUGGUGGACAAUAUACUGUACUUUCCUGACUUUUCCAAGCUGCCCCAGAAAUAUUUUGUAUGCCUUUUGGUAGGAAGCAUAAACCAGAAGGCAACAUGCUUUCUUGGACUCCAAGCUAUGAAUGACUGUGGCAUCAUUUGGAGUUGAACUCCAGUCUACUGAUGAUGUAGACUGAUGAUGCAGAUGAGGUAAAAACUUAGACCACUGUGCAACCAUGGUGGCACAGUUUGUUGUUAUUUUAACAAUGUAUCAUCCUUGUAAAUUCCUAAUAAAUUGUGGGCUUGGAAGGCUGGUGUUUCCAGCUCAGAUGUUUCUCCUGAAAGGCCUUAAUGCAUGUGAGACUGAUGAACCAUGAUGGACAUCUGGGAAGACCAGUGGCCUCAAUUAUACAACAUGUGACAACCACCAAUUAGCACAGAAAAACACAAGACUUAUCCAAGCAUUUGUAAUGAAUCUACCCGUCUAGAUCACUAAUGGUAACCUGGCAUGAAUGGGGACAGAUAUAUGCUGAAAAGACACUGGGGCUGUCCUCUAUUUCUGUAAGCUUGUCUAAAUGGAGCACCUGAUAAUGCAUGCAGCAAGAUGACCUGUGUUAAAUUAGCACACUUAUUGUUGUUUUGGCUUACACUCUAGACUGUGUGGGCUAGAUCCUCCAGUCGUUUUACAGCAGGUGGUAAUUUAACAUUGGACAUUGAACUGCACUUGGAAUAGUCACAUUUCACUUUUCACACACAGUAAACUGAAGAUGACUUUUAUUCUUUUUAUUUCCGUUUGGCAUAGAUGUUAUGUUCCUAUAUAAGCGACCAAGCUUGUGAUGGCUCUUUGUUUGUUUAGCCCUCAGGCGAAAGAUGGUGGGAAAAGAAAUCCAGCAAAUCAGGACACAAAGGCAGGAAUUCUACACAUGUGGCAAUAUACACAAACAUUGCAGAAAUUCAGAUUGUGUCAACCUUGAGCAUUGUGGAUGACUUCCACACACAUUUGUCAUACCAGCACAUUGUUUUGAUGUGCACUUUGAUGAUGAACUUCAGGGCAGGAUGAAUGUGAAAUGCAGGGAGGUGAAAUAUUAGGCUUAUCCUGUCAACACAGUGGCACACCAGGGAAGUUGUCACGGGCCGAGGCCAGAUGAGAUUCCUGGGAACAAUUAGUGGUGUAUGGUCAUGUAGAAUAAAAAAA
This is a long non-coding RNA of Ictalurus punctatus (channel catfish), 1634 nucleotides long. NCBI's taxonomy places the organism in Eukaryota, Metazoa, Chordata, Actinopteri, Siluriformes, Ictaluridae. The record is from Ensembl.